RNAcentral lists this ribosomal RNA (566 nucleotides) under uncultured bacterium. RNAcentral's name for it is "bacterial SSU rRNA". It matches the Rfam family "Bacterial small subunit ribosomal RNA", at positions 338 to 916 of the family's 1533-position model. The record is from RNAcentral.
CCUACGGGAGGCAGCAGUGAGGAAUAUUGGUCAAUGGGCGCGAGCCUGAACCAGCCAUCCCGCGUGCGGGACGAAGGCCCUCGGGUCGUAAACCUCUUUUGCACGGGAAGAUGGUGACGGUACCGUGCGAAUAAGCCCCGGCUAACUACGUGCCAGCAGCCGCGGUAAUACGUAGGGUGCGAGCGUUGUCCGGAAUUACUGGGCGUAAAGGGCUCGUAGGUGGUUUGUCGCGUCGUCUGUGAAAUUCUGGGGCUUAACUCCGGGCGUGCAGGCGAUACGGGCAUAACUUGAGUGCUGUAGGGGUAACUGGAAUUCCUGGUGUAGCGGUGAAAUGCGCAGAUAUCAGGAGGAACGCCGAUGGCGAAGGCAGGUUACUGGGCAGUUACUGACGCUGAGGAGCGAAAGCAUGGGUAGCGAACAGGAUUAGAUACCCUGGUAGUCAUGCCGUAAACGGUGGGCGCUAGGUGUGAGGGUCUUUCUAUGACUUUCGUGCCGUAACUAACGCAUUAAGCGCCCCGCCCUGGGGAAGUACGGGCGCGAGGCUAAAACUCAAAGGAAUUUGACGG